GAAAGACUUUGUUGGUCUCAACCUGAAAGUGAAAACAAAAUUGAUGCAUUCUAAACCUGAUCUUUCUCUGCACAAAGUAAUUAUAGGGAUAUUGCUAUUGAACUUGCUAGUUUUUAUUGCAACAAUAUUUCAAUAACUACACCAUAGCAAUAUAGCACAUAUUCCAGGAUUCUAAUAUUUUCAAAUCCCACAGUUUAGAACUUCGACUUCUUUAUUGUUCACAUAAACUGCAAACCAGAAAAUGCUGUCAAUCCCACGGCAACUUAACAUAAUGAAAUCAUAAAUUUUGCAAUAGGCAAAGAGAUACUGUAUGCCCCUCUCCCCUUAAGCCAGCAUAUAAGGGGUUUAUUUUAUAUUAGACCAAUCCUAAUAUGAUCUUCUCUACAUCAGAGAAAAUUUAACUACUCUAAAAGAAAUACCAAUAUUGGUGAAAAUACGUGAUCUAACUUUUAAAAAUAAAACAAAAAAUAAUUAUUGGAUGAAUGCUUCAACCAUAGGAAAGCUAGUUUUUGUAUUAGAUGGUGGGACAAUUAUUUCAAGCUGCGCUUCAUGAUCAA
Molecule: unclassified non-coding RNA, 557 nt
Filed under: Hevea brasiliensis (rubber tree)
Lineage: Eukaryota; Viridiplantae; Streptophyta; Magnoliopsida; Malpighiales; Euphorbiaceae
Source: RNAcentral